Molecule: ribosomal RNA, 301 nt
Filed under: uncultured bacterium
Lineage: Bacteria
Description: partial 16S ribosomal RNA
Rfam family: Bacterial small subunit ribosomal RNA
Source: RNAcentral
CAGCAGCCGCGGUAAUACGAAGGUCCCGAGCGUUACCCGGAUUUACUGGGCGUAAAGGGCGUGUAGGCGGCCUGGGGCGUCCCAUGUGAAAGGCCACGGCUCAACCGUGGAGGAGCGUGGGAUACGCUCAGGCUAGAGGGUGGGAGAGGGUGGUGGAAUUCCCGGAGUAGCGGUGAAAUGCGCAGAUACCGGGAGGAACGCCGAUGGCGAAGGCAGCCACCUGGUCCACUUCUGACGCUGAGGCGCGAAAGCGUGGGGAGCAAACCGGAUUAGAUACCCCAGUAGUCCCUGUCUCUUAUAC